RNAcentral lists this ribosomal RNA (402 nucleotides) under uncultured prokaryote. Its description in RNAcentral is "bacterial SSU rRNA". It matches the Rfam family "Bacterial small subunit ribosomal RNA", at positions 355 to 774 of the family's 1533-position model. The record is from RNAcentral.
UGGGGAAUAUUGCACAAUGGGGGAAACCCUGAUGCAGCGACGCCGCGUGAAGGAUGAAGUAUUUCGGUAUGUAAACUUCUAUCAGCAGGGAAGAAAAUGACGGUACCUGACUAAGAAGCCCCGGCUAACUACGUGCCAGCAGCCGCGGUAAUACGUAGGGGGCAAGCGUUAUCCGGAUUUACUGGGUGUAAAGGGAGCGUAGACGGCAGUGCAAGUCUGAAGUGAAAGCCCGGGGCUCAACCCCGGGACUGCUUUGGAAACUGUGCAGCUAGAGUGUCGGAGAGGCAAGCGGAAUUCCUAGUGUAGCGGUGAAAUGCGUAGAUAUUAGGAGGAACACCAGUGGCGAAGGCGGCUUGCUGGACGAUGACUGACGUUGAGGGUCGAAAGCGUGGGGAGCAAACA